Molecule: ribosomal RNA, 473 nt
Filed under: uncultured bacterium
Lineage: Bacteria
Description: bacterial SSU rRNA
Rfam family: Bacterial small subunit ribosomal RNA
Source: RNAcentral
ACUCCUACGGGAGGCAGCAGUGGGGAAUAUUGCACAAUGGGCGCAAGCCUGAUGCAGCCAUGCCGCGUGUAUGAAGAAGGCCUUCGGGUUGUAAAGUACUUUCAGCAGUGAGGAAGGUGGUAGUGUUAAUAGCACUAUCAUUUGACGUUAGCUGCAGAAGAAGCACCGGCUAACUCCGUGCCAGCAGCCGCGGUAAUACGGAGGGUGCGAGCGUUAAUCGGAAUUACUGGGCGUAAAGCGCAUGCAGGUGGUUUGUUAAGUCAGAUGUGAAAGCCCGGGGCUCAACCUCGGAAUUGCAUUUGAAACUGGCAGACUAGAGUACUGUAGAGGGGGGUAGAAUUUCAGGUGUAGCGGUGAAAUGCGUAGAGAUCUGAAGGAAUACCGGUGGCGAAGGCGGCCCCCUGGACAGAUACUGACACUCAGAUGCGAAAGCGUGGGGAGCAAACAGGAUUAGAUACCCUGGUAGGAAAGCG